This is a small nuclear RNA of Perognathus longimembris pacificus (Pacific pocket mouse), 102 nucleotides long. The record is from RefSeq and is a predicted model, not a curated record. Lineage: Eukaryota; Metazoa; Chordata; Mammalia; Rodentia; Heteromyidae.
UGCUUCUUUCAGCAGUACUACACUAAAAUUGGAAUAUAUACAACACUAUCAUAGCCCCUGCACAGGGAUGACAUGCAAAUCCAUGAAGAAGCCCAUAUUUUU